GUGGGAGGGGGCUUGCCCCCGAUGGCAGUGUGUCAGUCACUUAUUUAUUAACUGACUCACCGCCAUCGGGAGCAAGCCCCCUCCCAC
Molecule: non-coding RNA, 87 nt
Filed under: Pseudomonas sp. SJZ094
Lineage: Bacteria; Pseudomonadati; Pseudomonadota; Gammaproteobacteria; Pseudomonadales; Pseudomonadaceae
Also listed under: 1 other name
Source: RNAcentral